CCUACGGGAGGCAGCAGUGGGGAAUAUUGGUCAAUGGCCGAGAGGCUGAACCAGCCAAGUCGCGUGAGGGAAGACGGCCCUACGGGUUGUAAACCUCUUUUGUCGGGGAGCAAAGCGAGUCACGUGUGACUCAUUGAGAGUACCCGAAGAAAAAGCAUCGGCUAACUCCGUGCCAGCAGCCGCGGUAAUACGGAGGAUGCGAGCGUUAUCCGGGUUUAUUGGGUUUAAAGGGUGCGCAGGCGGAGGUGGAAGUCAGCGGUCAAAUUGCGGGGCUCAACCCCGUACUGCCGUUGAAACUGCAUGCCUUGAGUGGGCGAGAAGUAUGCGGAAGGCGUGGUGUAGCGGUGAAAUGCAUAGAUAUCACGCAGAACCCCGAUUGCGAAGGCAGCAUACCGGCGCGAAACUGACGCUCAUGCACGAAAGCGUGGGUAUCGAACAGGAUUAGAUACCCGAGUAGUC
RNAcentral lists this ribosomal RNA (459 nucleotides) under uncultured bacterium. Its description in RNAcentral is "partial 16S ribosomal RNA". It matches the Rfam family "Bacterial small subunit ribosomal RNA", at positions 338 to 795 of the family's 1533-position model. The record is from RNAcentral.